UACGUAGGUGGCAAGCGUUGUCCGGAAUUAUUGGGCGUAAAGCGCGCGCAGGCGGUCCUUUAAGUCUGAUGUGAAAGCCCACGGCUCAACCGUGGAGGGUCAUUGGAAACUGGGGGACUUGAGUGCAGAAGAGGAAAGUGGAAUUCCAAGUGUAGCGGUGAAAUGCGUAGAGAUUUGGAGGAACACCAGUGGCGAAGGCGACUUUCUGGUCUGUAACUGACGCUGAGGCGCGAAAGCGUGGGGAGCAAACAGG
This 253-nucleotide ribosomal RNA is filed under the name uncultured bacterium. RNAcentral's name for it is "partial 16S ribosomal RNA". It matches the Rfam family "Bacterial small subunit ribosomal RNA", at positions 524 to 776 of the family's 1533-position model. The record is from RNAcentral. RNAcentral also lists the same sequence under 2 other names.